CCUACGGGAGGCAGCAGUGAGGAAUUUUCCGCAAUGGGCGAAAGCCUGACGGAGCAAUACCGCGUGAGGGAUGAAGGAUUUUGGUCUGUAAACCUCUUUUCUCAAGAAAGAAGUUCUGACGGUACUUGAGGAAUAAGCAUCGGCUAACUCCGUGCCAGCAGCCGCGGUAAUACGGGGGAUGCAAGCGUUAUCCGGAAUGAUUGGGCGUAAAGCGCCUGUAGGUUGUUUAUUAAGUCCGUUGUUAAAGCCUAGGGCUCAACCCUAGAAAAGCAAUGGAAACUAGUAGACUAGAGUAUGGCAGGGGUAGAGGGAAUUUCUAGUGUAGCGGUGAAAUGCGUAGAUAUUAGAAAGAACACCGGUGGCGAAAGCGCUCUACUGGACCAUUACUGACACUCAGAGGCGAAAGCUAGGGUAGCAAAAGGGAUUAGAUACCCCUGUAGUCCUAGCCGUAAACGAUGGAUACUAGAUGUUGUGCAUUAUGUACAGUAUCGUAGCUAACGCGUUAAGUAUCCCGCCUGGGGAGUACGCUCGCAAGGGUGAAACUCAAAGAUAUGCGUGNGAGAGCGACGACGACGACGACGAGGAGAG
This 588-nucleotide ribosomal RNA is filed under the name uncultured bacterium. Its description in RNAcentral is "bacterial SSU rRNA". It matches the Rfam family "Bacterial small subunit ribosomal RNA", at positions 338 to 945 of the family's 1533-position model. The record is from RNAcentral.